GAUGAACGCUAGCUACAGGCUUAACACAUGCAAGUCGAGGGGCAGCAUGGUCUUAGCUUGCUAAGGCCGAUGGCGACCGGCGCACGGGUGAGUAACACGUAUCCAACCUGCCGUCUACUCUUGGACAGCCUUCUGAAAGGAAGAUUAAUACAAGAUGGCAUCAUGAGUUCACAUGUUCACAUGAUUAAAGGUAUUCCGGUAGACGAUGGGGAUGCGUUCCAUUAGAUAGGAGGCGGGGUAACGGCCCACCUAGUCUUCGAUGGAUAGGGGUUCUGAGAGGAAGGUCCCCCACAUUGGAACUGAGACACGGACCAAACUCCUACGGGAGGCAGCAGUGAGGAAUAUUGGUCAAUGGGCGAGAGCCUGAACCAGCCAAGUAGCGUGAAGGAUGACUGCCCUAUGGGUUGUAAACUUCUUUUAUAAAGGAAUAAAGUCGGGUAUGUAUACCCGUUUGCAUGUACUUUAUGAAUAAGGAUCGGCUAACUCCGUG
RNAcentral lists this ribosomal RNA (490 nucleotides) under uncultured bacterium. RNAcentral's name for it is "partial 16S ribosomal RNA". It matches the Rfam family "Bacterial small subunit ribosomal RNA", at positions 28 to 507 of the family's 1533-position model. The record is from RNAcentral.